GCCUCGGUGGUGUAGUGGUAGAGCACGUUUCUGCGGAUAGGAUAAAACACGGGUUCGAUUCUCGCCUGAGGCA
Parelaphostrongylus tenuis is the source of this 73-nucleotide non-coding RNA. NCBI's taxonomy places the organism in Eukaryota, Metazoa, Nematoda, Chromadorea, Rhabditida, Metastrongylidae. The record is from the annotation of a GenBank genome assembly.